RNAcentral lists this small RNA (1288 nucleotides) under Oryza sativa Japonica Group (Japanese rice). RNAcentral's name for it is "sRNA Os12g0429300". Lineage: Eukaryota; Viridiplantae; Streptophyta; Magnoliopsida; Poales; Poaceae. The record is from RNAcentral.
AUUUUGAUAUUAGUUUGUCUUGUCUCUUGAGGGAUUAGCUACUCUAUGUCUUGGCUGACAAAAUUGCCCUCUAGUAGGCAGAAACUAGCUGCUUACUAUUUUUAUAUAGGUAAAAGUUGAAUUUUAUCAAAGUUCUCUAAAUUCCUUGAAGUUUCAACUUCAAGUAACAUUUAGAUUUUAGAUACAAGCGCUCACACAAUCAAUGCGAAGAUACCCCGAAUCAAUCAGUUUACUAUUUGUACCACUGGUUAACCAGUAACUUGCUGGAUUUUGUAACCUGCCCACUCAAUUUUUUCUUGUCUUUCUUUAUGGGCAUGUCAAGGGGGGACUUACAUGCACUGCUGAUCUCUGGAAACUUGGAUUCUAGGGUCCUAAUGGAAGCACCAGGAUUCCAAUGAAAUGGCAUAAAUAAACCCUUUUAAUUUUGGCAGAUGACCCUGCCGAUCUCUUUCUUGUUAAUGCACGUGAUUUUCAAAAUUUGUUUUUCUUGAUUAAAUAGCCAAUUCCAUUACAUCGCAAACAACUAAAACGGCAUAUUGUUCUUAGUUAUUUGACUCUGCAUGAAAGGGAAUUUGACCGACUUUCUGUUCCGAAAAAGGUCGAGGGACAGGGCAUGCUAUAUUUAUCGAAUCUGUUCUCGUUUAGGUGGUAUCUCCAGUCACCCCUGCUUGGUUGAUUUUCUGAAGUUAGGAACAUGAAAAAGUAUGUGAUAUAGUUGGCCACUGAACAAUGUUGUGUGAACAAUUUGUUCCGUGGACUAUUUCAUAUUGAUUGGUGAGAAAGCAAAUAUUUUAAAAUACUCUAUUCUACAAUGUAUCACGUCUUCGACAUCCCAUUGUCUCCAAUAAACACCGCAAAAAUUAUUAAACUUUUCAUGAUGAAUCUAAUGGCUCCAUUUUCAUACGAAAAGUUCUAAAGACCUUUUGAUAUGGAGUAAAUUUCAGAUUACUGCAACUAUUUUGUCGAAAUUAUCAAUUUACUGCAACUUUAUCUAGACAUUUCAGAGAACUGUGACAAUAGUGUAUGAUUUUAUCAGAGAACUGCAAUUUUAUUUGCUUGGCAUGUUUUGGGCCCGCCUGUCAUACAGACAUGCAAUACGUAUGCUGGUGUAAGCCAGGUCCACAUGUCAUACACAUGGGGGGUGGGGGGGGGGGGCAGUGUUGUUAAGGCGGUAAGGCGGUUUAAGGCGACCCACCACUGCCUUAGCGCUGAGGCGUAAGGCGUUGCGACGCCUUAUGAGAUGAUUGAGGCGUGAUUAGUGGAGGAUAUGGUAGAGAAAUUAGGAAGG